GAUGAACGCUGGCGGCGUGCCUAAUACAUGCAAGUCGAGCGAACGGACGAGAAGCUUGCUUCUCUGAUGUUAGCGGCGGACGGGUGAGUAACACGUGGAUAACCUACCUAUAAGACUGGGAUAACUUCGGGAAACCGGAGCUAAUACCGGAUGAUAUUUUGAACCGCAUGGUUCAAAAGUGAAAGACGGUCUUGCUGUCACUUAUCGAUGGAUCCGCGCUGCAUUAGCUAGUUGGUAAGGUAACGGCUUACCAAGGCAACGAUGCAUAGCCGACGUGAGAGGGUGAUCGGCCACACUGGAAGUGAGACACGGUCCAGACUCCUACGGGAGGCAGCAGUAGGGAAGCUUCCGCAAUGGGGGAAAGCCUGACGGAGCAGCGCGGCGUGAGUGAUGAAGGUCUUCGGAUCGUAAAGCUCUGUUAUUAGGGAAGAACAUAUGUGUAAGUAACUGUGCACAUCUUGACGGUACCUAAUCAGAAAGCCCCGGCUAACUACGUG
Molecule: ribosomal RNA, 497 nt
Filed under: uncultured bacterium
Lineage: Bacteria
Description: partial 16S ribosomal RNA
Rfam family: Bacterial small subunit ribosomal RNA
Source: RNAcentral